GGUCAGACUUUGAUCAUGGCUCAGGAUGAACGCUAGCUACAGGCUUAACACAUGCAAGUCGAGGGGAAACGACAUCGAAAGCUUGCUUUUGAUGGGCGUCGACCGGCGCACGGGUGAGUAACGCGUAUCCAACCUGCCCACCACUUGGGGAUAACCUUGCGAAAGUAAGACUAAUACCCAAUGACGUCUCUAGAAGACAUCUGAAGGAGAUUAAAGAUUUAUCGGUGAUGGAUGGGGAUGCGUCUGAUUAGCUUGUUGGCGGGGUAACGGCCCACCAAGGCAACGAUCAGUAGGGGUUCUGAGAGGAAGGUCCCCCACAUUGGAACUGAGACACGGUCCAAACUCCUACGGGAGGCAGCAGUGAGGAAUAUUGGUCAAUGGGCGAGAGCCUGAACCAGCCAAGUAGCGUGCAGGAUGACGGCCCUAUGGGUUGUAAACUGCUUUUAUAAGGGAAUAAAGUGAGUCUCGUGAGACUUUUUGCAUGUACCUUAUGAAUAAGGACCGGCUAAUUCCGUGCCAGCAGCCGCGGUAAUACGGAAGGUCCGGGCGUUAUCCGGAUUUAUUGGGUUUAAAGGGAGCGUAGGCCGGAGAUUAAGCGUGUUGUGAAAUGUAGAUGCUUAACAUCUGAACUGCAGCGCGAACUGGUUUCCUUGAGUACGCACAAAGUGGGCGGAAUUCGUGGUGUAGCGGUGAAAUGCUUAGAUAUCACGAAGAGCUCCGAUUGCGAAGGCAGCUCACUGGAGCGCAACUGACGCUGAAGCUCGAAAGUGCGGGUAUCGAACAGGAUUAGAUACCCUGGUAGUCCGCACGGUAAACGAUGGAUGCCCGCUGUUGGUCUGAAUAGGUCAGCGGCCAAGCGAAAGCAUUAAGCAUCCCACCUGGGGAGUACGCCGGCAACGGUGCAACUCAAAGGAAUUGACGG
Molecule: ribosomal RNA, 922 nt
Filed under: uncultured Bacteroidota bacterium
Lineage: Bacteria; Pseudomonadati; Bacteroidota
Description: bacterial SSU rRNA
Rfam family: Bacterial small subunit ribosomal RNA
Source: RNAcentral